UGGAUGAGCCCGCGGCCUAUCAGCUUGUUGGUGGGGUAAUGGCCCACCAAGGCGACGACGGGUAGCCGGCCUGAGAGGGUGACCGGCCACACUGGGACUGAGAUACGGCCCAGACUCCUACGGGAGGCAGCAGUGGGGAAUAUUGCACAAUGGGCGCAAGCCUGAUGCAGCGACGCCGCGUGAGGGAUGACGGCCUUCCGUUUGUAAACCUCUUUGGCCACGGACGAAGCGAAAGAGCGGUACAUACCCCGUCACAGCCCCGCCCUACAACUGGU
Molecule: ribosomal RNA, 275 nt
Filed under: uncultured actinomycete
Lineage: Bacteria; Bacillati; Actinomycetota; Actinomycetes; Actinomycetales
Description: partial 16S rRNA
Rfam family: Bacterial small subunit ribosomal RNA
Source: RNAcentral